GUGGAUUGGCAACCGGGAGUACCGGGAGGUUUCCCGGUGGGCCGACCAAAAAUGGGCCAAUGAACGACCGUUUAUUUACUUAUUGCUGCGCUUUACUGUUACCUCUAUUAAACGGGAAAAAAAUACCUUCCAGGUGCUAAGACCAAGCGGAUAACACUCUUUCAGUAUCUUGCUAACCUGUAAUUGCCCGUGCCUGCUGUCACUCCAUGGGCGCUUGGGCGUUCUCCACCGUGUCUUGCUAGCUGGCCAGGACUUCGUGUUCAUCUCACUCUCUAAGCAGUAUCAUGGUGACUUGCUCGAUGGACAGUUGUCCGCCUGGUCCAGCUGGUCUGGGGGAUCUUUUCCAGUUUAUUUUGGCAGAUUUCAAGGCCAUGUGACUCGGCUCCACGCUCACCUGGUUCCCCGACGCCUGCAGCAGCACAAGCAACACACAAACAAGACGAUGAGGAAGACGCCAGCCAACACUGACAGAGUGAUGAUCAAAAUCUGGAAGUUUACUAGAAGUCAAAAGGCAGAUACAAAGAAAAUCAAGGUCACAGGUGAAGCCGAUACCUAUCCCAGCUGACUUUGGGAGAGAGGCGGGGUACACCCGGGGCCAUCUGCAUUUCAAGACAGACAUGUUCCCGGAAAAUAAGAAGCAAGCACAGGGAGAACAUGCAAACUCCAGAGAUGUUCCAACAGAGAUUCGAACCAAGACCAACAGAUGUGACUCGGCCUGUCACGGUAACAAAUUUUGCUGGACGAUAAUUGUCCGAUAAAAUAUUGCUGAUAAAUAUUUUCAACAUUUUGAGACCAUUUUGUUCAUUAAUGUAAUAAUACAAUUGCAAGAAUUGAUAUUUUGCACUGUUGGAUCUUAAGGAGGUUCUAAGUAGAGCUUCAAAUGCAAAAAGAAAUGGGAGUGAGAAUUUUUGGCAAUCAAGCAUUAAACUGAACUAGGCUGUUCAUCAGCUGAUCAAAAAAGUUUACAACCAUAGCUAAAAAACACAGAAACCCCCCUAAAAUAUAAAUAAAAUGUUCCAAAAAGGACUCAGUAAUGAGUAGCUCCGACAUUCUUGUUAAUCACCUAAAAAAUUGGUUUGAGCGUGCUUGAUGCCAGUGUUUCCAGGAGGCGAGUGGAAAUGUUGCUCCAGGUGGCGAAGAUGGCUUCCACAGAGGGUAUCCACUGUCUAGAACUGAUGUCCAAACUUCCCUUGCCACCCCCCAAAUGUUCUCAACUGGAAUCAAAUCGGGGGAACACACAGGAUGGUCCAAAAGAGUGACGUUAUUCCUCUUUGUCAAGCAGACAUUGUCAGCUGCAGUUGUCCUGUUGAAAACGCCAGUCAUUACCAGACAGACGAGGGCCUUCAGUCAUGAGAGUUGCCCCCUGCAACAUCUCCACAUUUCCAGCUGCCGUUUGACGCCCCUGCACAGCCUGACGCUCCACUGUUCCAUUGAAGGAAAAAUCAUCCCAGAUCAU
Molecule: long non-coding RNA, 1456 nt
Organism: Dunckerocampus dactyliophorus (ringed pipefish)
Lineage: Eukaryota; Metazoa; Chordata; Actinopteri; Syngnathiformes; Syngnathidae
Exons: 4
Source: RefSeq, a predicted model, not a curated record